Molecule: non-coding RNA, 31 nt
Filed under: Rattus norvegicus (Norway rat)
Lineage: Eukaryota; Metazoa; Chordata; Mammalia; Rodentia; Muridae
Source: RNAcentral
UGCAUUGUUGUUCCUUAGACAGGGGCUGUGU